CCUACGGGAGGCAGCAGUAGGGAAUCUUCCGCAAUGGACGAAAGUCUGACGGAGCAACGCCGCGUGAGCGAAGAAGGUCUUCGGAUCGUAAAGCUCUGUUGUCAGGGAAGAACAAGUACCGAAGGAAAUGGCGGUACCUUGACGGUACCUGACGAGAAAGCCACGGCUAACUACGUGCCAGCAGCCGCGGUAAUACGUAGGUGACAAGCGUUGUCCGGCAUUAUUGGGCGUAAAGCGAUCGCAUGCGGUUCCUUAAGUCUGAUGUGAAAUCUUGGGGCUCAACCGCAAGCGGGCAUUGGAAACUGAGGAACUUGAGUGCAGAAGUGGAAAUCGGAAUUCCACGUGUAGCUGUGAAAGUCGUAGAGAUGUUGAGGAACUCCAUUGGCGAAGUCGACUUUGUGGUCUGUAACUGACGCUGAGGCGCGAAAGCGUGGGGAGCAAACAGGAUUAGAUACCGCUGUAGUC
This 465-nucleotide ribosomal RNA is filed under the name uncultured bacterium. RNAcentral describes it as "bacterial SSU rRNA". It matches the Rfam family "Bacterial small subunit ribosomal RNA", at positions 338 to 795 of the family's 1533-position model. The record is from RNAcentral.